GGGCUACACACGUGCUACAAUGGUCGGUACAAAGGGUUGCUACACAGCGAUGUGAUGCUAAUCUCAAAAAGCCGAUUGUAGUCCGGAUUGGAGUCUGCAACUCGACUCCAUGAAGUCGGAAUCGCUAGUAAUCGCGGAUCAGAAUGCCGCGGUGAAUACGUUCCCGGGCCUUGUACACACCGCCCGUCACACCAUGGGAGUUUGUUGCACCAGAAGUAGGUAGUCUAACCGCAAGGAGGACGCUUACCACGGUGUGGCCGAUGACUGGGGUGAAGUCGUAACAAGGUAGCCGUA
This 294-nucleotide ribosomal RNA is filed under the name uncultured bacterium. RNAcentral describes it as "partial 16S ribosomal RNA". It matches the Rfam family "Bacterial small subunit ribosomal RNA", at positions 1211 to 1504 of the family's 1533-position model. The record is from RNAcentral.